GAUCGAACCCUUACCGAUCCUCAACAAUCAUCCAUACACCAAUCGCUUUAUUGGUGUAUCAUCAUUUUCAUCAUUCCCGGCAACAACAACAACAACGACGACGUCCACCACACCGACGACGAUAGCCCAGCUAGUAGAACGGAAACAGUAGUCUAGCAUCAGCAUUUCAUCACCUGACAACAUAGGUAGCAUUUACGUGGACAACCACCGAACGAGACCACUAAACGAAGCCACAGCCCUUUGGACCCGCGGCAUCAGCAGUUCUUCCACAGCAACAGCAUAAGCAUUGCAGUAGGUAGUGAGGUUUGAUCGUAAUCAAUAAUUGAAUAAAGGUUCAGUUCGUUUUAGGCAGUAGAUCGAAUAAGUUCUUUUUUUAAAACUUAGUCUGGGUGACACCCUUCUUCACUGGCGCAGUCGGCAGUUCUAGCGUGGAGUAGUUAAAGUGUAGUGAAAAGUGUUCUUAUCCGAAAUCAUCGGCGGCUUACCGAAGAGCAAAGGAGGAAACACCUAAACUACAGAUUCUAGUGCACCGGCGGUUUACCGAGACACCAAAAUCAUCUUUAACGAAGCUUCACACCUGCUAGAAGACAUCGAACCAUCCGAGGGAAUAUCGGACAUCGAACCAUCCGAGGGAAUAUCGGACAAUCGAACCAUCCGAGGGAAUAUCGGACAAUUUAACCAUCCGAGGGAACAUCGGAUAAAACCCAUCCAUACAGCUACCAACAUGAAACCACGUGAAAUUUUAUAUGCAGCCAAAAAUGGACAGGAGAGACCGAUAGAAAUGGAACGCCUUGUUGAACUUCGUGACAAGCUGUACGACGAAGUUCAAGUACAACUAACCAAGACACAAAACUCACAGAAUCUGUACCACAACAGGAAGCGAGAGGAUCCGCCAAAACUAAAACAAAACGAAUUGGCAUACAACCGCAUCCAAGGAGUGAAGUCGAAAAUUAAGGACCGCUACCAACAAGUGCGAGUACGAUCUAACCGGAAACACACGUACAAAGAUAUCCUAAGUCGAAAAUUGCAUAAAGAAAAACUGCGACGAAUCCGAAAGUAACACCACAGAAUCUCUAAUGUGUUUUUUCAUUUGUUUUCUCUUUUUAGAUGACGUUUAUUUGGAAUAUCCUGAUAACAACCACAUUCCUUACUCAGCUAUCCCAACCACAAUCCAUCCACGUCAUUAAUCUCAAACAAAACCCCGGUCUUUUAACCAUAGAAACUGGCAACAGUUUUAUAAAAAUAGGCAAUCACAGAUUGUUUCAUAUCCUAGAACUGGAUAAUUACGAACCUAUUUUUAGAAAAUUGCUUGCUAAUAUCCAAGGAAUACGGACAUUCUCAAAUUUUACUGAUAUGUUUGAAAUCUUAGAAUCGAAAUAUGGAACCGUUCACAGUUUAUUCAAUAAUCUUCGGCCAAAGCAAAGAAAUAAAAGAGGAUUAUUUAAUUUUCUCGGAACUGGAAUAAAAAGAAUUACAGGAAAUAUGGACCAUAACGACUAUGAACAAAUUUCGAAAAAUAUUUUUGAACUGCAGAUCAAGAACAAAAGACUUAUUAACGAAAACAACGAACAGCUUAAAAUUAAUCUACAACUCCAAAAUAGAAUCAAUUCCAUUAUCAACCGUUUAAAUCAACAACAGAGUGAAAUAACUAAAAACAUUAUAUCAGCUAGAUUUGAAAACGAAACCAACAAAAACUUUAAAU
Molecule: long non-coding RNA, 1702 nt
Organism: Aedes aegypti (yellow fever mosquito)
Lineage: Eukaryota; Metazoa; Arthropoda; Insecta; Diptera; Culicidae
Exons: 2
Source: RefSeq, a predicted model, not a curated record